ACGUAGGGUGCGAGCGUUAAUCGGAAUUACUGGGCGUAAAGCGUGCGCAGGCGGUUCGUUGUGUCGGCGGUGAAAGCCCCGGGCUUAACCUGGGAAUGGCCGUCGAAACUGGCGAACUGGAGUGUGGCAGAGGGGGGUGGAAUUCCGCGUGUAGCAGUGAAAUGCGUAGAGAUCCGGAGGAACACCGACGGCGUAGGCAGCGCCCUGGCUGUGAUGGCUGACACUGAGGCACGAAAGCUGGGGGAGCAAACAGGA
Molecule: ribosomal RNA, 255 nt
Filed under: uncultured prokaryote
Description: partial 16S ribosomal RNA
Rfam family: Bacterial small subunit ribosomal RNA
Source: RNAcentral